CCCUUAGAUGUCCUGGGCCGCACGCGCGCUACACUGAUGCAUGCAACGAGUCUAUAACCUUGGCCUGAAAGGUCUGGGUAAUCUUUUGAACGUGCAUCGUGAUAGGGAUAGAUUAUUGCAAUUGUUAAUCUUGAACGAGGAAUUCCUAGUAAACGCGAGUCAUCAGCUCGCAUUGAUUACGUCCCUGCCCUUUGUACACACCGCCCGUCGCACCUACCGAUUGAAUGGUUCGGUGAAGAUCUCGGACUUCGAUAUUUAUUCUUUAUUGAGUUUAUAUUGUGGGAAGUUAUCUAAACCUCAUCAUUUAGAGGAAGGUGAAGUCGUAACA
This 328-nucleotide ribosomal RNA is filed under the name uncultured eukaryote. RNAcentral's name for it is "partial 18S ribosomal RNA". It matches the Rfam family "Eukaryotic small subunit ribosomal RNA", at positions 1470 to 1796 of the family's 1831-position model. The record is from RNAcentral.